RNAcentral lists this ribosomal RNA (459 nucleotides) under uncultured Treponema sp. Its description in RNAcentral is "partial 16S ribosomal RNA". It matches the Rfam family "Bacterial small subunit ribosomal RNA", at positions 341 to 792 of the family's 1533-position model. The record is from RNAcentral. Lineage: Bacteria; Pseudomonadati; Spirochaetota; Spirochaetia; Treponematales; Treponemataceae.
ACGGAAGGCAGCAGCUAAGAAUAUUCCGCAAUGGACGAAAGUCUGACGGAGCGACGCCGCGUGGAUGAUGAAGGUCGAAAGAUUGUAAAAUCCUUUUAGGAGUGAAGAAUAAGGGGUGCAGGGAAUGGCAUCACGGUGACGGUAGCUCCUGAAUAAGCAACGGCUAAUUACGUGCCAGCAGCCGUGGUAACACGUAAGUUGCGAGCGUUGUUCGGAAUUAUUGGGCGUAAAGGGUAUGUAGGCGGUCGUGCAAGCUUGGUGUGAAAGGCAGGGGCUCAACCCCUGGACUGCAUUGAGAACUGCAAGACUUGAAUUGCUGAAGGGCAAUCAGAAUUCCUGGUGUAGGGGUGAAAUCUGUAGAUAUCAGGAAGAAUACCAAUGGCGAAGGCAGGUUACCAGCAGAUGACUGACGCUGAGGUGCGAAGGUGUGGGGAGCAAACAGGAUUAGAUACCCUGGUA